UUUAGGAUAUCUGGUCGGCACAGAUGAGUUGGGCUGAAGGGUCUGUUUCCAUGCUGUAUAACUCUAUGACUAUCCACUUCAUUUUGAAAUCUUUUACUGCCACUUGCAUCACCCUGUUAGAGUUCAGAGAGUUCCAGGCCUUGACACAGCCUUCCUCACACCUCCUGUGUGUUUUAAAUUAAGAACACAGGUGUGAGAAGGGAAGGAUCUGCGGACAGAAACCUCAGAACAAAUGCCAUAACAAGAUCUGACAGGGUCACUUAAUAUCAUUGGAUGUUUGAAUCUGGAAGUAGAAAUCCAUUCGACCUGCUUCAAAAGGACAACAGAAAAGAAGAAUUUGGAAGCAGAAAUCUCAAACCAAGCUUCAUGUCAGUAUCUGGCGGUCAGUUGAUUCACCCAAACUGUGAAUAUAGACAGCUUUGAAAACGAGGAGGAGAAGCGAGGUCUGUCUGUUCUGUCUGCUUCGUUAAGUUUGAAACAUCAGUGUGACUGGAAAAUCUUUGAGAGCCACACACUGAGUGAGAGUAUCCCAGAAUAGUGACAGUGGAGCAAGCUUUAACCUAUUUCACAGACCGAGUAAGAAUGUUCCAAUUAUCAGAGGCUUAACUAGUAACACAGACUGAAGAAACAAAUCACACCAUACAGGUGCUGUAAGGGUGGGCGAACUUUCUACUGACACAUUGCACCUGCAGAGAGACAAGGACUCCCACACUAGGGAGAAACUGUGGAAAUGCGGGCAGUGUGGGAACGGUUUCUCUUCCGCAUCUGCGCUGGAGAUUCAUCAGCGUUUCCACACUGGGGAGAGGCUGUUCACCUGCCCACAGUGCAGGAAAGACUUCAUUAGGUCACAUCACCUCCUGAUCCAGCAGCAGGUUCACAUCCAUGUGCGGCAAUGGCUUCUACGAUUUAUCCACCCUGCACAAACACGAGCGAGCCAACACCAGGGAGCGGCCGUUCACCUGCUCUGAUGCGAGAAAAAGUUUACCCAGUUCUCCAACCUGCAGUCACGUUAGCGGGUCCACACCGGAGAAAGGCCGUUUACCUGCUCCGUAUGCGGGAAGGGCUUUGAUCAGAUUCCAGUCUGGUGAAACACCAGGAAAUUCGCCAGUGAUCACUUGAGGAUGGAGUCUGCUGUUCUUGCUGCUGGGAAACACAUUCGGGACUGAACCGUGGGUGAACUGGGAAGAACAAGGAGUUACUUUCUGCCAAACUGGUCGCUCUCAUCCACUCUGUUUCCAGUUUUGAGCAUGGGACUGCACCUUCCCUCUGAGACGAUCCACAGGAUCUGCUGAAGGAACUUUUCAUUUCAUCCUGGAUAUUAACUAGUGUUUAUCCGACCACUACAGGUAGAUCUAAAACAGACACAUUUCUGCCUGUGCCAUUGAGUCUCCAGCACAACAACGCCUCCUCUUCCUCAGGCAGAUCAGGAAAUUUAGCAUUUCCCCCAGCAUCUGCAGUCCUCAGUAUCUCUUAUGUCCAUAAGGACCCUCACGAACUCCUACAGAUGCAUCACAGAAAGCAGACUGUCCGGAUGCAUCGCAGCCUGGUAUGGCAACUGUUCUCCCCAGGAUAUUAAGAAACUACAGAUGCCAACCUCCCAUCCAUAGACUCCAUUUCCACUUCACAGCUGUGGAAAGGCUGUCAACAUCAUCAAAGACCCCUCCCACCCUGAUAAUGAUCUCCUCCAACCUCUUUCAUCUGGCAGAAGGUACAAAAGCUUGAAUACGUGCACCAAAAGCAUGUUCCCUGCCAUUAUUAGACUGAUGCAUGAACUCUAACUUCAAACAAUGCUGAUCUUGUCUAGCGCACAUCCUUGUGUAACCUGUUUGCCUUAAUCUGUGCAAGUUUUUUUUUCAGCCUAUGAUCUGUAUGUCCUUACUUACUAUGAUCUGGCUGUACUGCUCGCAAAGUUUUUCACUGUACUUCGGUACACGUGAUAAUAAAUCAAAACAAUCAAUCAA
Molecule: non-coding RNA, 1961 nt
Organism: Chiloscyllium plagiosum (whitespotted bambooshark)
Lineage: Eukaryota; Metazoa; Chordata; Chondrichthyes; Orectolobiformes; Hemiscylliidae
Source: RefSeq, a predicted model, not a curated record